AGAGUUUGAUCCUGGCUCAGGAUGAACGCUGGCGGCGUGCCUAAUACAUGCAAGUCGAGCGAACGGACGAGAAGCUUGCUUCUCUGAUGUUAGCGGCGGACGGGUGAGUAACACGUGGAUAACCUACCUAUAAGACUGGGAUAACUUCGGGAAACCGGAGCUAAUACCGGAUAAUAUUUUGAACCGCAUGGUUCAAAAGUGAAAGACGGUCUUGCUGUCACUUAUAGAUGGAUCCGCGCUGCAUUAGCUAGUUGGUAAGGUAACGGCUUACCAAGGCAACGAUGCAUAGCCGACCUGAGAGGGUGAUCGGCCACACUGGAACUGAGACACGGUCCAGACUCCUACGGGAGGCAGCAGUAGGGAAUCCUCCGCAAUGGGCGAAAGCCUGACGGAGCAACGCCGCGUGAGUGAUGAAGGUCUUCGGAUCGUAAAACUCUGUUAUUAGGGAAGAACAUAUGUGUAAGUAACUGUGCACAUCUUGACGGUACCUAAUCAGAAAGCCACGGCUAACUACGUGCCAGCAGCCGCGGUAAUACGUAGGUGGCAAGCGUUAUCCGGAAUUAUUGGGCGUAAAGCGCGCGUAGGCGGUUUUUUAAGUCUGAUGUGAAAGCCCACGGCUCAACCGUGGAGGGUCAUUGGAAACUGGAAAACUUGAGUGCAGAAGAGGAAAGUGGAAUUCCAUGUGUAGCGGUGAAAUGCGCAGAGAUAUGGAGGAACACCAGUGGCGAAGGCGACUUUCUGGUCUGUAACUGACGCUGAUGUGCGAAAGCGUGGGGAUCAAACAGGAUUAGAUACCCUGGUAGUCC
RNAcentral lists this ribosomal RNA (806 nucleotides) under uncultured bacterium. RNAcentral describes it as "bacterial SSU rRNA". It matches the Rfam family "Bacterial small subunit ribosomal RNA", at positions 8 to 796 of the family's 1533-position model. The record is from RNAcentral.